RNAcentral lists this ribosomal RNA (532 nucleotides) under Paenibacillus tritici. RNAcentral describes it as "partial 23S ribosomal RNA". It matches the Rfam family "Bacterial large subunit ribosomal RNA", at positions 1629 to 2156 of the family's 2925-position model. The record is from RNAcentral. Lineage: Bacteria; Bacillati; Bacillota; Bacilli; Caryophanales; Paenibacillaceae.
CAGGAGAAGGUGCCCGUACCGCAAACCGACACAGGUAGGCGAGAAGAGAAUUCUAAGGCGCGCGGAAGAACUCUCGUUAAGGAACUCGGCAAAAUGACCUCGUAACUUCGGGAGAAGAGGUGCCUCGGUAGGGUGAAUAGCCCGAGGGGGCCGCAGUGAAAAGGCCCAAGCGACUGUUUAGCAAAAACACAGGUCUGUGCGAAGCCGUAAGGCGAAGUAUACGGGCUGACGCCUGCCCGGUGCUGGAAGGUUAAGGGGAGUGGUUAGGGGCAACCCGAAGCUGUGAACCGAAGCCCCAGUAAACGGCGGCCGUAACUAUAACGGUCCUAAGGUAGCGAAAUUCCUUGUCAGGUAAAUUCUGACCCGCACGAAUGGCGUAACGACUUGGGCGCUGUCUCAACGAGAGAUCCGGUGAAAUUUUAAUACCUGUGAAGAUGCAGGUUACCCGCGACAAGACGGAAAGACCCCAUGGAGCUUUACUGCAGCUUGAUAUUGAAUUUGGGUACGAUCUGUACAGGAUAGGUGGGAGCCG